CGACGGGUAGCCGGCCUGAGAGGGCGACCGGCCACACUGGGACUGAGACACGGCCCAGACUCCUACGGGAGGCAGCAGUGGGGAAUAUUGGGCAAUGGGCGAAAGCCUGACCCAGCGACGCCGCGUGAGGGAUGAAGGUCUUCGGAUUGUAAACCUCUUUCAGUAGGGAAGAAGCGAAAGUGACGGUACCUAAAGAAGAAGCACCGGCUAACUAUGUGCCAGCAGCCGCGGUAAUACAUAGGGUGCAAGCGUUGUCCGGAAUUAUUGGGCGUAAAGAGCUCGUAGGUCGUUUGUCACGUCGAUUGUGAAAAUCUGAGGCUCAACCUCAGACCUGCAUUCGAUACGGGCAAACUAGAGUGUGGUAGGGGAGACU
Molecule: ribosomal RNA, 373 nt
Filed under: uncultured bacterium
Lineage: Bacteria
Description: bacterial SSU rRNA
Rfam family: Bacterial small subunit ribosomal RNA
Source: RNAcentral